GUGGGCACCAUCUAAUUAGCUUCCAGUGUGGCCAGAAUAAAGCAGGCAGACAUUGGAAGAACUUGACUUGCUGAGUCUUCCAGCCUUCAUCUUUCUCCCAUGCUGGGUGCUUCCUACCUUGGAAUACUGGACUCCGAGUUCUUCAGCUUUUGGACUCUUGGACUUACACCAGUUGUUUGCCAGGGGCUCUCAGACCUUUGGCCACAGACUGAAGCCUGCACCGUUGGCUUCCCUACUUUCGAGGCUUUCUUGCUCCUCAGCUUGCAGAUGGUCUACUGUGGGACUUCACCUUGCAAUCAUGGAAAAUGAACCGGUUCUCUGGAUUUAUUCUAGUCAAACACAGAGCCAGGCUGAACAGGGCUUUUGCUGCUCCAUCUUUGAGUUCCUGGGCAACUAUGUGGCUCCCUGAGCUUUUGUUAAGAAAAGCAGAAGCACCAGGGCACCCAGAUCCUGACGGCAUGUGGUAGGUGGAGAUUGCUCUCCUGCCCUGCAAGUUGGGCAAAUAGGAUGAAAAUUUCUGCACGUUUGAAGAUAAACACUACAGAUUGCUACAGAUGAAUGCUACUGACAUGCUAAAGACUAUAUGACAAUUCCUUUUAAAGUCAGACACUCAAUUGUGAAAGAUGUGUGAACAAUCCAAUGAUGGAUGUCCGUUAGUUCAGUGCUGUCAAGCUGAGUUACUACUCCACAUCUCUGAUACUGAUGCUGUUUUUGCAGUCAUGAUUGAGUCGUUGAAGAAAAAAGCACUCUACAGAGUUCUGCCCAACUGUGUCCAAACAAGCAGCAACUUGAAAUAUCAUUGGCUUACUCAGCAGCAUCAGAACCCACAAAGCAAAGAGGUUAGAUCCAUCCAAGAGACUUUUCUGCAGCAGUAAAUGGAUUUGCCCUCUUUAGAGCAGGGAGCACAGCUCCAACACAAUUAUUCUUAUUGGAACAGACUAAGGAAUUUACUUCAAAUGAGGUUGUUGGUUGUCCUGUGAAAGCUGUGUCAGAAUAAAUAUUCAACUGCUCUUUGGAGGCAUAAUUUGUUAGCCCGUGAAUCAUUUGUGACCCAUGAGCUGCAUAUAGCUGACUUUGUUUAAAUGGAGGGAAAACUUCUUUCAUUCUAGCAAAACUUGUAUAAAGCUCAGGUAUAGAGAAAACACUUUAACGUUCAGUUCUUUCCAAAGGGGCCAUUUUUAUAUGCCAGAUGUCCUGA
This 1198-nucleotide long non-coding RNA is filed under the name Homo sapiens (human). Its description in RNAcentral is "HSALNT0160025". The record is from RNAcentral. Lineage: Eukaryota; Metazoa; Chordata; Mammalia; Primates; Hominidae.